RNAcentral lists this ribosomal RNA (268 nucleotides) under unidentified marine bacterioplankton. RNAcentral describes it as "partial 16S ribosomal RNA". It matches the Rfam family "Bacterial small subunit ribosomal RNA", at positions 70 to 339 of the family's 1533-position model. The record is from RNAcentral.
UAACAGGUCUUCGGAUGCUGACGAGUGGCGAACGGGUGCGUAACGCGUAUGCAACCUGCCCUUUACUGGAGAAUAGCCCAGAGAAAUUUGGAUUAAUACUCCAUAGUAUUACAGAUUCGCAUGUUUCUGUAAUUAAAGUUCCAACGGUAAAGGAUGGGCAUGCGUGACAUUAGUUUGCUGGUGAGGUAACGGCUCACCAAGACUACGAUGUCUAGGGGUUCUGAGAGGAUGAUCCCCCACACUGGUACUGAGACACGGACCAGACUCC